UUCACGAGACAGGUUACUACAGGACGUGGA
This 30-nucleotide non-coding RNA is filed under the name Rattus norvegicus (Norway rat). Lineage: Eukaryota; Metazoa; Chordata; Mammalia; Rodentia; Muridae. The record is from RNAcentral.